UGAUGAUGAUGAUAGUUCCAUAAUGAUAGUCGGAGGUUUAUGGACCUUAUUCUCACACCUAGCCACGCUAUAGUCGGCCGGGUACGGUACCUAUUGUGCAUACUACUACAGUUGGGUACGGAUAACACCGAGCCUUGUUAUGGCUGGGUACGGAUGACACCGAGCCUAUAUGGCUAGGUACGGUAUUAUGAUAUAUGUAUAUGUAUGGAAUUUUUUUUUAAAAAAAGGAAAGCAUGCAUGUUAUCCGCCUUAAGAGACAUUCAGAUGUAUAGGUUAUCUCUCUUAUCUCUGGUUACUUUCAUAUCUUUAUUAUGUUGAUUAUUCAUUCCUUACAUACUCAGUAUAUUAUUAAUACUGACGUUAUUUUGUUUGUGGAUGCUGCAUUCAUGCUCGCAGGUAGACAGGGAGACGGAUCAAAACCUUAGGCUUUUUCCUAGUGUUUGUACAGGAGCACUCCACUUGUUCUGGAGUUGCAUUUCAGUUGGUACGAUUCUUUUGUUUAUAUAUGGGCUUAGUAGGGUCCUAUGCCGUCCUUAUUAUGUUAUGCACUCCAUUUAGAGGCUCGUAGAUAGAUAUGUACAAUUAGAGGUUCUAUGACCAUCUUGAUCCAUACCUUGUUGUAUCAUUAUAUUCUGAUAGCCUUGACGGCUUAUGUACUUGAGAUCAGUUUGAUGACGCAUAUAUACAUAUAGCUUUUGGGCUUGCGUCCCUUACAGAUUAUGAUAUUUACGAGUUAGCUUAUGGCCCAUUCAGAUAUGACUAUGAGAUGCACGUUUUGCGAUGCUCGGUAGGUUAGCUCCGGGUGCCCGUCAUGACCCUCUGGUUGGGUCAUGACACUGCUAUUCUAUGCCUAACAGUAGCUAAAUAGAAUUUUCUGAAAACUCAAGCAGUGAGCGCAUCUACGGAAACGCUCCGCAGGUUUGAAGGCGCAGGUGCGGGCAAAUUGUCCGCAGAGGUGGACUUCGUGGAAGAACGAACCAUGCAGGUGCGAAUUAGUAUCCGCAGAUGCAGUUACCUAGAGACGGCUAAGCUCCGCAGGUGCAGGCUAUUUUAGAAGAAGGAAACCCACAAAAGAGGUCAUAACCUCAAAGAUGUGAGUCCGCUGAAAUGUAAAAAAUCCCGUAGAAGCGGUACUUGGACAGUUUCAAAAAUGGGUAAUAGAAAUGGUUUCCCCCACCUUUGAAACCCCCACAUUUCUCUCAACCGGCCCCCAACUCCUCCACUCUCAAAAUCCCAACACACUCACCCCCUUCAUUUCUCACCACACUCAUUACAAAGAAAAGAACCAAAAACUUCGGAGGAGUCAUCAGAUUUACGAAGGGAAGGCCCACCUCUCAACUUUAUCCUUUUCCAUUUUUCUUCAACAAGAGUUUGUCGCUAGUUCUACCUCUCAGCCUCGCGAAUGAUCUCGAGGCCUACUUACAAGAGUUUCCAGGGUGAGCUACUAGAUGGAUCUGCAGCCCAGAGACUCCUCCUUGUACUUAUCUUUCCUUUUGCUUUUGAGACAGUUAUUAUCAUGUAUUUAUGAGACUACCUCUAGUAUUCAGACAUUGUACUAGUGAUAGUGGCUCUUGUACUCA
Long non-coding RNA from Lycium barbarum (goji berry), 1580 nucleotides. RefSeq lists it as uncharacterized. The transcript has 2 exons. NCBI's taxonomy places the organism in Eukaryota, Viridiplantae, Streptophyta, Magnoliopsida, Solanales, Solanaceae. The record is from RefSeq and is a predicted model, not a curated record.